RNAcentral lists this ribosomal RNA (477 nucleotides) under uncultured bacterium. RNAcentral describes it as "partial 16S ribosomal RNA". It matches the Rfam family "Bacterial small subunit ribosomal RNA", at positions 28 to 506 of the family's 1533-position model. The record is from RNAcentral.
GAUGAACGCUGGCGGCGUGCUUAACACAUGCAAGUCGAACGGGAAACCUUUUAUUGAAGCUUCGGCAGAUUUAGCUGGUUUCUAGUGGCGGACGGGUGAGUAACGCGUGGGUAACCUGCCUUAUACAGGGGGAUAACAACCAGAAAUGGUUGCUAAUACCGCAUAAGCGCACAGGACCGCAUGGUCCGGUGUGUAAAACUCCGGUGGUAUAAGAUGGACCCGCGUUGGAUUAGCUAGUUGGCAGGGUAACGGCCUACCAAGACGACGAUCCAUAGCCGGCCUGAGAGGGUGAACGGCGACAUUGGGACUGAGACACGGCCCAGACUCGUACGGGAGGCAGCAGAGGGGAAUAUAGCACAAUGAGGGAAACCCUGAUGCAGCGAGGCCGCGAGAAGGAAGAAGUAUCUCGGUAUGUAAACUUCUAUCAGCAGAGAAGAUAGUGACGGUACCUGAAUAAGAAGCCCCGGCUAACUACGU